Molecule: ribosomal RNA, 2931 nt
Filed under: Salmonella enterica subsp. enterica serovar Derby
Lineage: Bacteria; Pseudomonadati; Pseudomonadota; Gammaproteobacteria; Enterobacterales; Enterobacteriaceae
Description: 23S ribosomal RNA
Rfam family: Bacterial large subunit ribosomal RNA
Source: RNAcentral
GUUGUGAGGUUAAGCGACUAAGCGUACACGGUGGAUGCCCUGGCAGUCAGAGGCGAUGAAGGGCGUGCUAAUCUGCGAUAAGCGCCGGUAAGGUGAUAUGAACCGUUAUAACCGGCGAUACCCGAAUGGGGAAACCCAGUGUGAUUCGUCACACUAUCAUUAACUGAAUCCAUAGGUUAAUGAGGCGAACCGGGGGAACUGAAACAUCUAAGUACCCCGAGGAAAAGAAAUCAACCGAGAUUCCCCCAGUAGCGGCGAGCGAACGGGGAAGAGCCCAGAGCCUGAAUCAGCAUGUGUGUUAGUGGAAGCGUCUGGAAAGGCGCGCGAUACAGGGUGACAGCCCCGUACACAAAAGCGCAUGUGCUGUGAGCUCGAUGAGUAGGGCGGGACACGUGGUAUCCUGUCUGAAUAUGGGGGGACCAUCCUCCAAGGCUAAAUACUCCUGACUGACCGAUAGUGAACCAGUACCGUGAGGAAAGGCGAAAAGAACCCGGCGAGGAGUGAAAAGAACCUGAAACCGUGUACGUACAAGGGGAGCACAGGUUUACCUGUGUGACUGCGUACCUUUGAUAAUGGGUCAGCGACUUAUAUUCUGUAAAGGUUAACCGUAUAGGAGCCGCAGGAAACCGAGUCUUAACCGGGCGUUAAGUUGCAGGGUAUAGACCGAAACCCGGUGAUCUAGCCAUGGGCAGGUUGAAGGUUGGGUAACACUAACUGGAGGACCGAACCGACUAAUGUUGAAAAUUAGCGGAUGACCUGUGGCUGGGGUGAAAGGCCAAUCAAACCGGAGAUAGCUGGUUCUCCCGAAAGCUAUUUAGGUAGCGCCUCGUGAAUUCAUCUCCGGGGUAGAGCACUGUUUCGGCUAGGCCAUCCCGGCUUACCAACCCGAUGCAAACUGCGAAUACCGGAGAAUGUUAUCACGGGAGACACACGGCGGGUGCUAACGUCCGUCGUGAAGAGGGAAACAACCCAGACCGCCAGCUAAGGUCCCAAAGUCAUGGUUAAGUGGGAAACGAUGUGGGAAGGCCCAGACAGCCAGGAUGUUGGCUUAGAAGCAGCCAUCAUUUAAAGAAAGCGUAAUAGCUCACUGGUCGAGUCGGCCUGCGCGGAAGAUGUAACGGGGCUAAACCAUGCACCGAAGCUGCGGCAGCGAACGUAUCACUUAAAGCGAUUCAGCGGGUUACGAUUGACGGAGCGAAGCGACGUCAAAGCGUAUACAAAGUCGAGUCGGUUUAAGGAUACGUUCGUUGGGUAGGGGAGCGUUCUGUAAGCCUGUGAAGGUGUGUCGUGAGGCAUGCUGGAGGUAUCAGAAGUGCGAAUGCUGACAUAAGUAACGAUAAAGCGGGUGAAAAGCCCGCUCGCCGGAAGACCAAGGGUUCCUGUCCAACGUUAAUCGGGGCAGGGUGAGUCGACCCCUAAGGCGAGGCCGAAAGGCGUAGUCGAUGGGAAACGGGUUAAUAUUCCCGUACUUGGUGUUACUGCGAAGGGGGGACGGAGAAGGCUAUGUUGGCCGGGCGACGGUUGUCCCGGUUUAAGCGUGUAGGCUGGUUUUCCAGGGAAAUCCGGAAAAUCAAGGCUGAGGCGUGAUGACGAGGCACUACGGUGCUGAAGCAACAAAUGCCCUGCCUCUAAGCAUCAGGUAACAUCAAAUCGUACCCCAAACCGACACAGGUGGUCAGGUAGAGAAUACCAAGGCGCUUGAGAGAACUCGGUGAAGGAACUAGGCAAAAUGGUGCCGUAACUUCGGGAGAAGGCACGCUGACACGUAGGUGAAGUGAUUUACUCAUGGAGCUGAAGUCAGUCGAAGAUACCAGCUGGCUGCAACUGUUUAUUAAAAACACAGCACUGUGCAAACACGAAAGUGGACGUAUACGGUGACGCCUGCCCGGUGCCGGAAGGUUAAUUGAUGGGUCAGCGCAAGCGAAGCUCCUGAUCGAAGCCCGGUAAACGGCGGCCGUAACUAUAACGGUCCUAAGGUAGCGAAAUUCUUUGUCGGGUAAGUUCCGACCUGCACGAAUGGCGUAAUGAUGGCGCUGUCUCCACUCAGUGAAAUUGAACUCGCUGUGAAGAUGCAGUGUACCCGCGGCAAGACGGAAAGACCCCGUGAACCUUUACUAUAGCUUGACACUGAACAUUGAGCCUUGAUGUAGGAUAGGUGGAGGCUUUGAAGUGGACGCCAGUCUGCAUGGAGCCGACCUGAAAUACCACCCUUUAAUGUUUGAUGUUCUAACGUGGACCCGUAAUCCGGUUGCGGACAGUGUCUGGUGGUAGUUUGACUGGGGCGGUCUCCUAAAGAGUAACGGAGGAGCACGAAGGUUGGCUAAUCCGGUCGGACAUCAGGAGGUUAGUGCAAUGGCAUAAGCCAGCUUGACUGCGAGCGUGACGGCGCGAGCAGGUGCGAAAGCAGGUCAUAGUGAUCCGGUGGUUCUGAAUGGAAGGGCCAUCGCUCAACGGAUAAAAGGUACUCCGGGAUAACAGGCUGAUACCGCCAAGAGUUCAUAUCGACGGCGGUGUUUGGCACCUCGAUGUCGGCUCAUCACAUCCGGGCUGAAGUAGGUCCCAAGGGUAUGGCUGUUCGCCAUUUAAAGUGGUACGCGAGCUGGGUUUAGAACGUCGUGAGACAGUUCGGUCCCUAUCUGCCGUGGGCGCUGGAGAACUGAGGGGCUGCUCCUGUACAGAGGACCGAGUGGACGCAUCACUGGUGUUCGGUUGUCAUGCCAAUGGCACUGCCCGGUAGCUAAAUGCGGAAGAGAUAAGUGCUGAAAGCAUCUAAGCACGAAACUUGCCCCGAGAUGAGUUCUCCCUGAGACUUUAGGUCUCCUGAAGGAACGUUGAAGACGACGACGUUGAUAGGCCGGGUGUGAAAGCGCAGCGAUGCGUUGAGCUAACCGGUACUAAUGAACCGUGAGGCUUAACCUUACAACGCCGAAG